This 64-nucleotide transfer RNA is filed under the name Rhipidolestes aculeatus. RNAcentral's name for it is "tRNA-His". Lineage: Eukaryota; Metazoa; Arthropoda; Insecta; Odonata; Megapodagrionidae. The record is from RNAcentral.
UCUUAAGUAGUUUAUAUAAAAUGUUGAUUUGUGGUGUCAAAGAUGUAAUUUAUUACCUUGGAUG